UUAACUCAAAUUUGUAUAGAGUUGGAACGUUGGCCGCUAGGGGCGCUGUUCCAACUCCAAACAAAUUUUAGUUC
This is a non-coding RNA of Bombyx mori (domestic silkworm), 74 nucleotides long. The record is from Rfam. NCBI's taxonomy places the organism in Eukaryota, Metazoa, Arthropoda, Insecta, Lepidoptera, Bombycidae.